CUUCUUUCUUAUCUUCUUCACUCUUCUCUUCUUCCAAACGUGAAGACCCAAGCUUAAGAUAUAAAACGUAAUUCUAUUCCGGAAAAAUCGAAGAGUUAGGAUUGAAACAACAAAAGCGAGGCCAAGGUACAGAAAAGUAAGAAGAUCGAUCUUAAGAGCAGCAACGCAGCAUACCAUCAUUAGGGGAUCAAAUCAGAAGUAAACAACAAAGUAUGUAUUUUAGUUGUAUAAAGUAUGUUGGCAUG
Long non-coding RNA from Hibiscus syriacus, 245 nucleotides. RefSeq lists it as uncharacterized. The record is from RefSeq and is a predicted model, not a curated record. Lineage: Eukaryota; Viridiplantae; Streptophyta; Magnoliopsida; Malvales; Malvaceae. The transcript is spliced from 3 exons.